CAGAGUGGCCUUGCUGCCACGAU
Molecule: small nuclear RNA, 23 nt
Filed under: Arabidopsis thaliana (thale cress)
Lineage: Eukaryota; Viridiplantae; Streptophyta; Magnoliopsida; Brassicales; Brassicaceae
Description: snRNA_11983
Source: RNAcentral